GCCCCUGUGGUGUAGCCCGGACUAUCAUACUGCCCUUUCGAGGCAGUGACUCGGGUUCAAAUCCCGGCGGGGGCA
RNAcentral lists this transfer RNA (75 nucleotides) under Candidatus Woesearchaeota archaeon. RNAcentral's name for it is "tRNA-Glu". It matches the Rfam family "tRNA". Rfam says of the family: Transfer RNA (tRNA) molecules are approximately 80 nucleotides in length. Their secondary structure includes four short double-helical elements and three loops (D, anti-codon, and T loops). Further hydrogen bonds mediate the characteristic L-shaped molecular structure. tRNAs have two regions of fundamental functional importance: the anti-codon, which is responsible for specific mRNA codon recognition, and the 3' end, to which the tRNAs corresponding amino acid is attached (by aminoacyl-tRNA synthetases). tRNAs cope with the degeneracy of the genetic code in two manners: having more than one tRNA (with a specific anti-codon) for a particular amino acid; and 'wobble' base-pairing, i.e. permitting non-standard base-pairing at the 3rd anti-codon position. Lineage: Archaea; Nanobdellati; Candidatus Woesearchaeota. The record is from RNAcentral.